AAAGACUCAAAUUAAUAUAAACGGCACAAAGGGUGGUUAAAGACUGUUCAUAAAUAAAAUUAAAAAUUGACUAAACUGUUAUACGUAGUAGUUAAAUGUAAACCCAAUAACGAAAGUAAUUUUAAUUAAAAAUCUACUUGAACCCACGAUAGUUAGAACACAAACUGGGAUUAGAUACCCCACUAUGUCUAACCUUAAACUUUGAUUAUUCGCCAGAGUACUACGAGCUACA
This 232-nucleotide ribosomal RNA is filed under the name Necturus maculosus (mudpuppy). RNAcentral describes it as "partial 12S ribosomal RNA". Lineage: Eukaryota; Metazoa; Chordata; Amphibia; Caudata; Proteidae. The record is from RNAcentral.